GCCUUUGUGGUGUAAUGGUCAGCACACUCGGCGCAUAUUCGAGAGGUCCAAGGUUCAAAUCAUGGCGAGACCA
Molecule: transfer RNA, 73 nt
Filed under: Stegodyphus mimosarum
Lineage: Eukaryota; Metazoa; Arthropoda; Arachnida; Araneae; Eresidae
Rfam family: tRNA
About the family: Transfer RNA (tRNA) molecules are approximately 80 nucleotides in length. Their secondary structure includes four short double-helical elements and three loops (D, anti-codon, and T loops).
Source: Rfam by way of RNAcentral